CCGUUAGCUCAGUUGGUAGAGCAACUGACUCUUAAUCAGUGGGUCUAGGGUUCGAGUCCCU
Molecule: transfer RNA, 61 nt
Filed under: human gut metagenome
Rfam family: tRNA
About the family: Transfer RNA (tRNA) molecules are approximately 80 nucleotides in length.
Source: RNAcentral